This 729-nucleotide ribosomal RNA is filed under the name uncultured bacterium. RNAcentral's name for it is "bacterial SSU rRNA". It matches the Rfam family "Bacterial small subunit ribosomal RNA", at positions 728 to 1456 of the family's 1533-position model. The record is from RNAcentral.
UCUGNUCUGUCACUGACGCUGAGGCUNGAAAGCGUGGGUAGCGAACAGGAUUAGAUACCCUGGUAGUNCACGCCGUAAACGAUGAGUGCUAGGUGUUAGGCCCUUUCCGGGGCUUAGUGCCGGAGCUAACGCAAUAAGCACUCCGCCUGGGGAGUACGACCGCAAGGUUGAAACUCAAAGGAAUUGACGGGGGCCCGCACAAGCGGUGGAGCAUGUGGUUUAAUUCGAAGCAACGCGAAGAACCUUACCAGGUCUUGACAUCCCGAUGCUAUUCUUAGAGAUAGGAAGUUACUUCGGUACAUCGGAGACAGGUGGUGCAUGGUUGUCGUCAGCUCGUGUCGUGAGAUGUUGGGUUAAGUCCCGCAACGAGCGCAACCCUUAUUGUUAGUUGCCAUCAUUAAGUUGGGCACUCUAGCGAGACUGCCGGUAAUAAACCGGAGGAAGGUGGGGAUGACGUCAAAUCAUCAUGCCCCUUAUGACCUGGGCUACACACGUGCUACAAUGGUCGGUACAACGAGUUGCGAGCCGGUGACGGCAAGCUAAUCUCUGAAAGCCGAUCUCAGUUCGGAUUGGAGGCUGCAACUCGCCUCCAUGAAGUCGGAAUCGCUAGUAAUCGCGGAUCAGCACGCCGCGGUGAAUACGUUCCCGGGCCUUGUACACACCGCCCGUCACACCACGAGAGUUUGUAACACCCGAAGUCGGUGAGGUANCCUUUUAGGGGCCAGCCGC